AUCUAAUAGAUGACUGUUAAAAUCUAUGGACAAAUUAUAAUGUCUUCAAGAAAACUUGAAGGAAAAAAACAUGUCACUAUUUGGAACACAGAAGAUGAAUUUGUGUAUAAAUGCUAAAAUGGCUUUCUCUCUGGAUCAGAUGAAUUACAGAAACAAAAGGACUCAUUAGUAAUCACCUCCACAUAAGACACAGAAAAAUAGAAAUCUGAUGAGUAAAGCAAGGCACGGAGAGAUUAAAUAACUUAUCCAACAUCACAAAACUAUAUAAAGGGUCAUCAACGACAAAGAAGCCUGGGCACAGGCACUUGCUGAGAACCUCCAAACCAGGGUGACCUUACCAGACAGUGAGACUACAGGCACCACCUUUCUAAGGAGUUUCACCUCCCAAGCCUGAACCACUCUGCAUUAUUUCCUGAAAGAGACCCCACAUUUAUGGGAUGACCAUCCUUCUCUGAUCCCAACUGCUGCCAGAGCAACUGUGUCUUAUCGUGUCAUAUGAGGGAGGGGAAUACUAUUUCCGAAGAGAUGGUCAGUAAAAUUAAGAAGUGGGCAUGUUUUGAGAGCCUUCAGGAAUGAAGUUUUCUAAAGUGAGAAAAUUGGUUAUAGGUGGCUAGAGGUAGAGGAUUUAACCUCCUUUCCUUAUUAGUAUUCCCUUUUCUUCUUUUUACCACUUUAGUAUCCCCACAACACUCCUUGAGGAAGUAAUACUCAAAAACAACACGUUCAUGUUAUCAGCUUGCCUCUGUGAAAGCAACCUGUGUAGAUGCCAUAGCUCUCUCUAGAAAGACAGACUGGCACUGGAGCUGCUCUAGUGUCUGUGCUGUUUGGGUCUCUGUUCACCCAAAGGAAGCAAUGACUUAAGGAAGCAAGGUUUCAUCAUGGCAUGACUGACAAUGGGGUUCUGGACGGUUCAUCUUAGGGAUGGUUUGUGGAAACCUCCAAGGAGUUUACACAUUUCUUCUAUGUCUAAAAAGGCGUGUGGGGCACCUGGGUGGCUCAGUCAGUUAAAAUCCCAACUCUUGGUUUCAGCUCAGGUUAUGAUCUCAUGGUUCAUGAGUCUGAGCCCCACAUCAGG
This is a long non-coding RNA of Felis catus (domestic cat), 1075 nucleotides long. RefSeq lists it as uncharacterized. The record is from RefSeq and is a predicted model, not a curated record. Lineage: Eukaryota; Metazoa; Chordata; Mammalia; Carnivora; Felidae. The transcript is spliced from 4 exons.